Molecule: long non-coding RNA, 2015 nt
Organism: Ailuropoda melanoleuca (giant panda)
Lineage: Eukaryota; Metazoa; Chordata; Mammalia; Carnivora; Ursidae
Exons: 4
Source: RefSeq, a predicted model, not a curated record
UGGCUUUCUGAGCUCCUGCAGCUGCACACUGUCCUGAGAGACUCUCACCGCCUUCUGGAGCAAGAAAGAGUGCCUGCAGAGCUUCAGGCUACAGUUCUUAAGGUGCCAGGGAGCAGCUUUCUUUUCCAGGAGGCGCCUUCAGCUUCUAGAAGACGUCCCUCAUCGGCCAGGAAGCAGAUCUCCGGCCAGAGAAGCUAAGACUGAGGCCUCAUCCUCCUCCACACAGCACGCCGGGUAGCCACCACGGCCUGGAGAGAAUCAACGGAUUCGGUGAAAUCUCCUUGCUAUCUCUGGGGUAAAACACAGAAUGCAUACGGAGCAGGGGUUGGCGGUGACCAGGGCAAAGCAGUGUAUCUUCGCGAAGCUGGAAUACACUGCAUGUCUCAUAUCACGCAACGUUGUCGGUUGUCUCGGUAGAACUGGUGGCUUCACCUCUUGCCUUUAACACAGCUGAACCACAGAGCCUGUCUUUGGAAAGAGAACUGACACAAAGCAGACGUGGAGAACACCUCUCUGGCGGGCCUGAUGUGAAAAUCAGAAUGAAUAUGUGAGAGGGUCUGGGGCAGGGUCCGGUAUAGAGCGUGUUCCCACAAAGGUGGCACUUGUUAUUGCUCUCCUAGUCCCUACAAGACAUUCCUACAUUCUAACAGAUAAUUCGUAACAGCCUCCUUCAAGUCUCCUUAAAGGAUUUUCUUUCCUACCCACCAGCACAAAAUUAUGUUGCCAAAUUAUGUCACCUAAUAACGUUGGUGUGGCUUUCUUUCUGUUUCUCUCCUGAGAGCACAGGGUCUCCCUCAUUCCCUCAUUAUUUUACAGGAGAGCUUAUCACAUUGCUUGGGUAUAAUUAAUAUCCAACCCACAAAUAAACACCAUGCCUGGGGUUCAUCUCCUGAUGCCAGCAUUUUGUCCCUUCCUCGCAGCUACCGUCACUUCAUGAAGAACAUCAUAGUGUGUCUUCUAUAUAAUCCAUGCUUUGUAAUUCACCAACCCCAAGACGAUGGGCCUCCUUCUCAUUCAGUAGGAAGUCAUAGGAACUCCCUUCCUAUUUAAAAUAUUCUAUAGCAGUAACCUUCAUGAGCCCCACAAAGCAGCUGUCUGUGUUAGGACAGGAAAAGCUGGAACACAUUGAGCAAGGUUUUGUUUUGGUUUUUAAAUUGCAGGCUUCAGGGAUCUCCCCCCUUCUCGGGCUCAGAAACUAAGCUGUUGAACAGGGCUGAGAGCCGCAGUUUGCAGGAGCAGCUGAAAGCUAUUUCACCAUGAAGCAGACCUUGGCAGGUCUCGAAAGCUCCAUAUGGUCUGCAGCUCUGGUCUCCAGGAAGCGCCCAGUUCAUUCUCCCCACUUAGUUUGCCUUGUGUAUAAUCCCGGCUUGUUUGUUUGUAAGGCAACGGUAUAGAAAAGAAGCCUUGCUCUGUGGUUUUUUGUCCUAGUCACCUUUAUGGGAAUAAUUCACUAAGAUGCAAUUUAGUAUAUAUUCCAUCUAUGGAUUCUCUGCCAAGUUACCUCGUGAGACAGCUAAGCUGUCCUGAACCGAGAAGGACUCAAGGAGGCAAAUGGAGUUGUUACCUUCAAGCAGCCAAGCCAUGGGAGAUACGCCUACCUUCCCCAGCACUGUGGAAGCCUCUGAAUCACCGAGACCGCCUUCCUUCUCCAGCUCUCCUGCCCUGCUUCCCAGAAGCGUGAACAGACUCCUCUCCCAGCCCCAGAUCCAAAGCCCUCAUGCACAUAGAGACCAGCUCUGCCAUUUCAUCAGUCCAUGGCUCAGUCCUGGGAAAGGCAGCUUGCCAGGACACCCACCUGAUCUCAAGGGAAUUGCUGAUCCCGUGAACUUCCUCAGAGUCAGAAUCUGCUGUCACCUUUCAUCAUUUGAUAGAAAAGUAGAGAAAUGUCAGUCUUCCUGAAGCACAAGUGUUAGGGCCACGCUGUCCAACAGAAAUAUAAUAUAAGCCGCCAGUGCUUGCUGUCCUUUGGCAAAUGUCAUUUCCGAUGUUCUAGAAGCCACACUUAAAAUAAAUAA